GAUGGACAUCAGAAAUAGAUGGAGAGGUUGAGGGUAGAGGAAGGACAUCAGUAAUAGAUGGGAGAGGCUGAGGGUAGAGGAAGGACAUCAGUAAUAGAUGGGAGAGGUUGAGGGUAGAGGAAGGACAUCAGUAAUAGAUGGAGAGGUUGAGGGUAGAGGAAGGACAUCAGUAAUAGAUGGAGAGGUUGAGGGUAGAGGAAGGACAUCAGUAAUAGAUGGGAGAGGUUGAGGGUAGAGGAAGGACAUCAGUAAUAGAUGGGAGAGGUUGAGGGUAGAGGAAGGACAUCAGUAAUAGAUGGGAGAGGUUGAGGGUAGAGGAAGGACAUCAGUAAUAGAUGGGAGAGGUUGAGGGUAGAGGAAGGACAGGAGUAAUAGAUGGGAGAGGUUGAGGGUAGAGGAAGGACUUCAGAAAUAGAUGGGAGAG
RNAcentral lists this long non-coding RNA (424 nucleotides) under Salmo salar (Atlantic salmon). RNAcentral's name for it is "lncRNA (ENSSSAG00000100963.1, ENSSSAG00000102009.1)". The record is from RNAcentral. Lineage: Eukaryota; Metazoa; Chordata; Actinopteri; Salmoniformes; Salmonidae.